UUCAGGACCUGUGGAGGCCAUGAAGAACAGACCUUGAAGAUUUCCUGCUGCAGGGAUCAGGAAACUGAGAUGCUUAUCCAUCACUUGUCAUGUGGCAUUACCUAAAGACUGCUUUCAGGAUCAUCCACUACCUUGUAUCUCUGGCCUGCCCCAUGCUCAGCAGAGAAAAUCUGAGCAGAGAAUGUCAGGUGCUUUUGGCAGAAGGCAUUGGCAUACAUGGGGUGGUAAGUAUAAUAUCAAUGGGAUAUUGGCAGAGCACAAGAAAAGAGUCCAGUGCAGUGAGGUAAGGAAAAAGAGAAGCAAAUUCUUCUUAACACUAAUUAUUUCUUCUCCAGCCUAUCUAAGAUUCACAAGAUUUGGGAGCAGUCAAGUAGCAUUUUCUUUCUGUUUAUGAUUUCCCUCUGAGACUAUCAUUGCUUUAGGCAAAUGCAUUCAUGUGAAGAAUCAUUUUUCUCCAUGUCUGAGCCUAUAAUAAAUGUCAACCCUUUUUUGGCAACUGCAACUAAUGCUGCAGACCUACCAUUACUAAAAAUGAAAUUACACAUGUUAGGACCCCAGAUCAAUGUAUUUCAAGGGACAUUUAAGAUCACUCUGGACAGGCAAUGGAAUCUCUCCACCUCUGUAGCUAUGAGCCUCCUUCUGGAAAAAAAGAUAAAAUUUUUACUUGAUUUUUUUUCUCUUUCUCUUAGUGCUUGGAUCAAGCAAAAAAAAUGCAAAUGAAAUUUCUAGCCUUGUUAAUUCCCCUGAAAUCUAGCAUCCUCUCUAAAAUACUUGGUAAAACUAAGCACCCAGGAAACAAAGUUUAAAGUCUUUAAGGUGUGCUCAGUGUAGCCUGUAAGGUGUUUAAUAAAUAGCCCUUAAAUUUGCAUAGAAAUCAUAGGCCAUUGGAGCAAAAAGUAAGCUCAGGCAAUGUCACAGAAAAUGCUUCAUUUUACAGGUGAGAGAAAUGAAUCCCAGAGAGAAUUGGUUUGCACAAAACUACACGUCCGUUUAGUGGCACAGCAAAAACCAGAAUUAAGGUGGUCUGACACUCAUUCCAAUAAUUUUCAUGGUUUUUUAUGUUUUAAGCUUUGAUAGAAAGACUUUUGUGCAUUAUCUCAUUUAAAGAAACUAAUGAGAUGGUAAGUCAUUUACAAGUCAGUCAUCUGGGUAAGAGCAGGGGAUCCUCUGGGAUCUGAAUGCUUGGGUUCAAAUUCCAGCUCCAACAUGUGUCACCUGCAUGACCCUGAACGAUCUUUCUGUGCUUCCCUUUUCUCCACGGUAAGCAAUGGCAUCUAUCUCAGUACCCUUAAAACGAUUGCAUGAAAUACUGGUAAGCAAUGACAACUAUCUCAGUACCCUUGAAAUGAGUGCUUGAAAUGCUACAAGCAAGUGUCUAGAGAGUGCCUGGACCACAGUUAGUACUCCAUAAAUCUGAAGCGACAUGAUGUCAUCUUCACAACAGCUCUCAAAGAUACUCAUGCAGUGAUGAUACGUGUCAAUCAUUUGACGUCAAAUGUAUUUUUCAUUCCAUCUGGCAAAUCAUAUCCCUCUUCUUGAAUGGAAUUCCUCUGUCACUCUGGGUCUUUCAAUUCACCUUGAAGUGUCCAGGCCUGAUCAUAAAUAUAACAGGAAUCAGAAGUGGAACUGUUUUUAAACGUCUCUGAGAGCUGUGAAAGAGAGAUUCUCCAUUUGGUGAAGGAAAAAUCUUCCAUUAGAGGCAGAUAAUGGCGUUCUUUAUAAAGCAUUUCACAUUAACCAGCUCUACAAAACAAGCUCCUGUGGAUGCAGUCACAUUAUCUGAGCCACUAAGUCUCCUGUGAAGCUGGUUUUAUAUACUCGGGGAAGCACCAAGCCCAAGCAGUUUUGAAUACCAGUGGAAAAACAAGACUCUCAGCAGUUCCAGGAAAAAUAAAUUAUUAAAGCCGAAAGAGAUGGUGGAACAAUUCAU
This 1930-nucleotide long non-coding RNA is filed under the name Homo sapiens (human). RNAcentral describes it as "HSALNT0318372". The record is from RNAcentral. Lineage: Eukaryota; Metazoa; Chordata; Mammalia; Primates; Hominidae.